GAUGAACGCUGGCGGCGUGCCUAAUACAUGCAAGUUGAGCGCUGAAGGUAGGUACUUGUACCAACUGGAUGAGCAGCGAACGGGUGAGUAACGCGUGGGGAACCUGCCUUUGAGCGGGGGACAACAUCUGGAAACGAAUGCUAAUACCGCAUAAAAACUUUAAACACAAGUUUCAAGAUUGAAAGAUGCAAUUGCAUCCCUCAAAGGUGAUCCCGCGUUCUAUUAGCUAGUUUGUGAGGUAAACGCCUUACAAAGCGAAGAUUGCUAACCGACCGGAGAAGGUGGUCGGGCACCAUUGGAAUUAGAAACGGCCCAAAAUCCUACGGGGGGCAGCAAGUGGGGAUCUUAGCGAAUUGACGGAAGUCUAACCGAACCACGCCGCGUGGGGGAAGGAGGUUUUCGGAUCGGAAAACUCUUGUGGUAGAGAAGAACGAUAUUUGGAGGGAAAAGCGCAUGAAGUGACGGUAACUACUCAGAAAGAGACGGCUAACUACGUG
This 497-nucleotide ribosomal RNA is filed under the name uncultured bacterium. Its description in RNAcentral is "partial 16S ribosomal RNA". It matches the Rfam family "Bacterial small subunit ribosomal RNA", at positions 28 to 507 of the family's 1533-position model. The record is from RNAcentral.